This is a long non-coding RNA of Esox lucius (northern pike), 1303 nucleotides long. RefSeq lists it as uncharacterized. Lineage: Eukaryota; Metazoa; Chordata; Actinopteri; Esociformes; Esocidae. The record is from RefSeq and is a predicted model, not a curated record. The transcript is spliced from 3 exons.
AAGAGAGUAAAAUGCUAGAUUGACUUAUCCUAGUUUGUACAAUGUUUUCCAUUGCGUUUCAAUGCAUAUUCUGUGCCAGUCAAACACGGGACAAUUUAGUGAUAUGAGUGCUCGGCACAGAAACUUGAUUCAGUUCAAACACAAUUGUCUUCACAUCUCCGGAAUGGUUCUCUAUCGAAAAUGUGCGGCAGCGCUACGCCGGAACGGCGUGUCUUGAACAGUCAGUGUCUGAAAGUAUACACAACAAAGUAAUCAAGCAUCUCGAGUCUUCUUCUGUGUGUGUGUGUGUGUUUCAGAUACUCUUGGGGUCGUCUUGCUCUGUGUGAGUCUGGUUGUGUUACUGCUGGUGAUCAGUCUGCCAGUAGUCAGCAGAUGGAAAGCCAACAAGAGAACAGCUUUCCCCUCAGCACAAAGGGUGAGCUCAGACACUGGGGUCAACGAAGAGAGUUCUCAUGGUGAGGGUUACUAUGAAGAGAUACAGGAGCGCCCCCAGCAGUCCGAAACAGGCGGUACGAUCACCACCAUCUACAGCACCCCCUACCAUCCCAUAAACCCCUCUGACUCGCAAUACUACGCCAACGUUGACUUCCAGAGAGACCCUGGCAACCCCAGUGAAGCCACCAUCGCCAUUAUUAAAGAUGGCACCUGCCCCAGUGAAGCCACCACCGCCAUGAUUAAAGAUGGCACCUGCCCCAGUGAAGCCACCACCGCCAUGAUUAAAGAUGGCACUUGCUCCUGUGACUAUGCUAACAUGUUUACAUAAACAAGAACACACAUAAGAUUAGAUGGUCCUUCUCUCGCCUUCACCACUCACACAAAGCUGUCAACUAUAAUUCUCAGUAAACUGUUUAUUCAGUGUAAUCUAUUAGUGACACAGUUAUGUUGCAGAGAGUGUCAAAGAAUCCCCUUUUGAUGUUUUUGUUUCUUUAGGAUCUGUGUAUCCAUUGUCAUUUAUUGUGUACAUGUUUAAAACAAGCACAUCAUACUGAACAUUUUAUCUCCCUUUUAUUUUUCAUUCCAUCACUUUUCAUUUCUUAUGGUUUCGAUUUUCUGGAUAGGAUUUUUAACUGAAUUAGCGUUACAUCGUGGAUUUCGUUGUUGAGUCUACAGUAACCAACUAAAUAGACAACUGCUGCUGAUGUUAAAGUGCUGUGUCAAGGGGCGCCGUAUAGGAGGAAGAAGUUAGAACAAUUCCAAGGGCCCAUGACUGACAGGGGCCCCAAAAAAUAGCUAACAGCUGCUCAGAGGGGGCCCAAUAUUCCUGGCGGCGCCCCUGGCUGUGUAUAUUCUGCUUUACUUUUUG